This is a non-coding RNA of Biomphalaria pfeifferi, 353 nucleotides long. The record is from the annotation of a GenBank genome assembly. NCBI's taxonomy places the organism in Eukaryota, Metazoa, Mollusca, Gastropoda, Planorbidae.
AUUUACCCCUGUUUUUUUUUUAAUAUACUUGUUUUUCUCAGCUUUACAGGUUUUAAAAAAACAUUUAUAUCAUGUUUUUACAGACUUUUUUUCUUUUAUUUCUUAAUGGUAAUAUAAUAAUUGUGAUACGUUUUAUUAACCAUGGGAAGUUAUUGUCUUGUGAUUUAUGAUAAAUUAAUAUACUUGUCUACUCUUGGGUUGUUUUUUUUUAUUUAUAUAGAAAUGAGUUUGUACAUUCUAUUUGUUGAUUGCUUUCAAGAAAUAAAUGCAUGUUCUUUCAUAAACGGAUUACUUAGAGGGUGUAAUAACAAUGAUUUACUUGUAUAUUCCUUGUAUUGUACCCCCCCCCCCCC